RNAcentral lists this ribosomal RNA (253 nucleotides) under uncultured bacterium. Its description in RNAcentral is "partial 16S ribosomal RNA". It matches the Rfam family "Bacterial small subunit ribosomal RNA", at positions 524 to 776 of the family's 1533-position model. The record is from RNAcentral.
UACGAAGGGGGCUAGCGUUGCUCGGAAUCACUGGGCGUAAAGCGCACGUAGGCGGCUACUUAAGUCAGGGGUGAAAUCCUGGAGCUCAACUCCAGAACUGCCUUUGAUACUGAGAAGCUUGAGUCCGGGAGAGGUGAGUGGAACUGCGAGUGUAGAGGUGAAAUUCGUAGAUAUUCGCAAGAACACCAGUGGCGAAGGCGGCUCACUGGCCCGGUACUGACGCUGAGGUGCGAAAGCGUGGGGAGCAAACAGG